AACGUAGGGCCCGAGCGUUUUCUGGAAUCACUGGGCGUAAAGGGUGCGUAGGCGGGCGUGCGCGGCUGGGGUGAAAGGCUCCGGCUCAACCGGAGACAUGCCCUGGGCACGGCACGUCUUGGGUGCGGGGGAGGGCGAUGGAAUUCCUGGUGGAGCGGUGAAAUGCGUAGAUAUCAGGAGGAGUACCGUUGGCGAAGGCGGUCGCCUGGCCCGCAACCGACGCUGAGGCACGAAAGCGUGGGGAGCAAACAGG
RNAcentral lists this ribosomal RNA (253 nucleotides) under uncultured bacterium. RNAcentral describes it as "partial 16S ribosomal RNA". It matches the Rfam family "Bacterial small subunit ribosomal RNA", at positions 524 to 776 of the family's 1533-position model. The record is from RNAcentral.